UUUAACGGCCGCAGUACCCUAACCGCGCGAAGGUAGCAUAAUCACUUGUUCUUUAAAUGAGGACUAGAAUCAACGGCACCACGAGGGUUAUACUGUCUCCUUUCUCUAAUCAGUGAAACUAAUCUCCCCGUGAAGAAGCGGGAAUAAAAUUAUAAGACGAGAAGACCCCAUGGAGCUUUAAACCUAGUUACACUCCGAACCUUUACACCCAAUUAUUAUCCGAACCCUGUAAACUAGACUUUAGGUUGGGGGUGACCGCGGAGUAAAACAAAACCUCCGCAAUGAACGAAACUACUAUCUUAUCUAAGAGAUACUCCUCUAA
Molecule: ribosomal RNA, 322 nt
Filed under: Gephyromantis luteus
Lineage: Eukaryota; Metazoa; Chordata; Amphibia; Anura; Mantellidae
Description: partial large subunit ribosomal RNA
Rfam family: Bacterial large subunit ribosomal RNA
Source: RNAcentral